RNA transcript from Vidua chalybeata, 1655 nucleotides. It is a transcript of the gene named serine and arginine rich splicing factor 5, with no coding region annotated. The transcript is spliced from 7 exons. The record is from RefSeq and is a predicted model, not a curated record. Lineage: Eukaryota; Metazoa; Chordata; Aves; Passeriformes; Viduidae.
UAUCUGCCCGACCGAUUCACCGAUCAUCUGCCGUGCCGCACAGAGCAACCGUCCGGCUCGGCCUGCACCGAGACCCACAGCCCAGGGCCGCGCACACACAGCCAUGAGCGGCUGCCGCGUCUUCAUCGGGAGGCUGAACCCGGCCGCCAGGGAGAAGGAUGUGGAGAGGUUCUUCAAGGGGUACGGCCGCAUCCGCGACAUCGACCUGAAGAGGGGCUUCGGCUUCGUGGAGUUUGAGGAUCCGAGGGAUGCAGAUGAUGCUGUUUAUGAAUUGGAUGGAAAAGAACUUUGCAGUGAGAGGGUGACCAUUGAGCAUGCCAGAGCACGCUCGAGGGGCAGAGGCAGAGGGAGGUACUCUGACCGGUUCAGUAGCCGCCGCCCGCGCAGUGACAGGAGAAAUGCCCCACCUCUAAGAACAGAAAAUCGCCUCAUAGUGGAAAAUUUGUCUUCUCGUGUCAGCUGGCAGCCUAUCUGUGUCGUUGGCCUUAUGACGAGGAGUGCCUGUGGGUUAUCCUAAUCGUUCUGUCUUGGUCACUCUUGGUCGGGCCUGGUUGACUUUCCAGUCAGCUCCUACAAUGUCACUUGGCCACCUCUAGAUCUGUGUUUGCCGGUCUAGACGUAAUCGAUGCACUCCUUAAAGUGCCACAUUGCAGCGGUCCCAGAGCGUUAACGAGAUCUGAUUCCUAAGUUGAGAGCUGUUCUUCCUGUAACGCUUCCGAAUAACGAGGUCCUGGUCGAAAAGAGUUGAAAGAUUGGAAAUUAGGUGGUCGUUGGAAUCCUGAUCGCAGUAAAGUGGUCCUUGGUGACAUCAAGCAUAGAGAAUGGAUCCAUCCAUAGUCUCCUGAUAGGGAGGGCAGUGCGAUUAAUGGCUUCCAUCGACUGGGUAGUGUUCGGCAAGUGGGUGGCGAAGAGCCAGUCGGGCAUAUGUCAUGACGGUAUCUCCGGUCGCUUAAUGCAGUUUGCUGCUUGGCUAGCCUAGGGAAAUGUUUAUAAAGGUAAAGUAAACUAUAUUUUUAAUGACAUAUGGGGCACAAAAUAAUUGGUGUUAUGUAAAUGUAAUUUUGUAUUCAUAUAAGACUUGUAAUGUAAAUGGAGACUGAAACAGUCCAAAAAUAUAUGGGUAGUAUUUCAAAGUCAAUUCAGUAGAUAUAAAAAUGUGCUUUUUAUUUCUUUUUUUCUCUCUCUUUCUUUCUCUUUGUUAUUUAAUCUAUAAAAUCAUUUUAGACUAAUAUUUACCUUAAUGUUAAGACCCUUUAUUAGCAUUUUGCUUAAAGCAAUAUGCUUUUCUCAUUUAUUUCGUGCCCUGAUACAGAUCAUGAUACAGAUAAUGCAGUUUUGAUUACAAGUAUGGCAGUUGCCAUGUAUGUGAUUUAUCUAACAACUUCUCUUUCAGUAGUCAUAAAUUUCUUUUGUUUGCUUUAAACUACUUUUGUAUAAGUAAAUGUUAAUUUCACUUCUUUGCGUAACAAAAGUGGUCUUGUGUUAGGAUCUCAAAGACUUCAUGAGGCAAGCCGGGGAAGUAACCUUUGCAGAUGCACACAGACCUAAGUUAAAUGAAGGGGUGGUUGAAUUUGCCUCUUACAGUGAUUUAAAGAAUGCUAUUGAAAAGCUUUCUGGUAAAGAAAUUAACGGAAGGAAAAUCAAACUAAUUGAAG